GCAGUAGCCGCGGGAAUACAGAGGGUGCGAGCGUUAAUCGGAUUUACUGGGCGUAAAGCGUGCGUAGGCGGCUUUUUAAGUCGGAUGUGAAAUCCCUGAGCUUAACUUAGGAAUUGCAUUCGAUACUGGGAAGCUAGAGUAUGGGAGAGGAUGGUAGAAUUCCAGGUGUAGCGGUGAAAUGCGUAGAGAUCUGGAGGAAUACCGAUGGCGAAGGCAGCCAUCUGGCCUAAUACUGACGCUGAGGUACGAUAGCAUGGGGAGCAAACAGGAUUAGAUACCCGCGUAGUCCCUGUCUCUUAUAA
RNAcentral lists this ribosomal RNA (302 nucleotides) under uncultured bacterium. RNAcentral describes it as "partial 16S ribosomal RNA". It matches the Rfam family "Bacterial small subunit ribosomal RNA", at positions 508 to 809 of the family's 1533-position model. The record is from RNAcentral.